This 274-nucleotide ribosomal RNA is filed under the name uncultured bacterium. RNAcentral's name for it is "partial 16S ribosomal RNA". It matches the Rfam family "Bacterial small subunit ribosomal RNA", at positions 523 to 796 of the family's 1533-position model. The record is from RNAcentral.
AUACGGAGGGUGCAAGCGUUACUCGGAAUCACAGGGCGUAAAGCGCGCGCAGGCGGCUAUUUAAGUUGGAUGUGAAAGCCUACGGCUCAACCGUAGAACUGCAUCCAAAACUAUUUAGCUAGAGUGUGGGAGAGGAAGAUGGAAUUAGUUGUGUAGGGGUAAAAUCCGUAGAGAUAACUAGGAAUACCAAAAGCGAAGGCAAUCUUCUGGAACACUACUGACGCUGAGGCGCGAAAGCGUGGGGAGCAAACAGGAUUAGAAACCCUAGUAGUCC